AAUGAACGCUGGCGGCAUGCCUUACACAUGCAAGUCGAACGGCAGCAUGACCUUUCCUGCUAGGUUCAUGGCCAGUCGCGUACGUGAGUGUCAUGCAUCGGACCGUUCCUUUGCGUUGGGGUUAACGUAGCGACACUUAUUCCACUUCCGCACAUUCUCUGAGGAGGAAAGCAGUUGACCUUUCGGCCUUUCGCCUGAACCUCGGUCGAAGUCGGAUUUGGUAGUUGGUGAGGUAAAGGCUUACCAAGGCCACGAUCCGUAGCGGGUCUGAGAGGAUGAACCGCCACACUGGGACUGAGACACGGCCCAGACUCCUACGGGAGGCAGCAGUGGGGAAUAUUGGACAAUGGGCGAAAGCCUGAUCCAGCCAUGCCGCGUGAGUGAAGAAGGUCUUCGGAUUGUAAAGCUCUUUAAGUUGGGAAGAAGAGAAGUAUUAUAAUACAUGGUGGGCUUGACGGUACCAGCAGAAGAAGCACCGGCUAACUACGUG
RNAcentral lists this ribosomal RNA (490 nucleotides) under uncultured bacterium. RNAcentral's name for it is "partial 16S ribosomal RNA". It matches the Rfam family "Bacterial small subunit ribosomal RNA", at positions 29 to 507 of the family's 1533-position model. The record is from RNAcentral.